Molecule: ribosomal RNA, 483 nt
Filed under: uncultured bacterium
Lineage: Bacteria
Description: partial 16S ribosomal RNA
Rfam family: Bacterial small subunit ribosomal RNA
Source: RNAcentral
AUUGAACGCUGGCGGCAUGCUUUACACAUGCAAGUCGAACGGCAGCGCGGGCUUCGGCCUGGCGGCGAGUGGCGAACGGGUGAGUAAUGCAUCGGAACGUGCCCAGUAGUGGGGGAUAGCCCGGCGAAAGCCGGAUUAAUACCGCAUACGACCUGAGGGUGAAAGCGGGGGACCGAAAGGCCUCGCGCUAUUGGAGCGGCCGAUGUCGGAUUAGCUAGUUGGUGGGGCAAAGGCUUACCAAGGCGACGAUCCGUAGCUGGUCUGAGAGGACGACCAGCCACACUGGGACUGAGACACGGCCCAGACUCCUACGGGAGGCAGCAGUGGGGAAUUUUGGACAAUGGGGGCAACCCUGAUCCAGCCAUGCCGCGUGCGGGAAGAAGGCCUUCGGGUUGUAAACCGCUUUUGUUCGGGAAGAAAUCCUCUGGGCUAAUACCCCGGGGGGAUGACGGUACCGGAAGAAUAAGCACCGGCUAACUACGU